This is a non-coding RNA of Trichonephila inaurata madagascariensis, 77 nucleotides long. NCBI's taxonomy places the organism in Eukaryota, Metazoa, Arthropoda, Arachnida, Araneae, Nephilidae. The record is from the annotation of a GenBank genome assembly.
GCCGUUGCCGUGGCUCAGUUGGUUAAUGCGCCUGUCUAGUAAACAGGAGAUCACGAGUUCGAAUCUCGUCGUCGGUG